GAUGAAGAACGUAGCGAAAUGCGAUAAGUAAUGUGAAUUGCAGAAUUCAGUGAAUCAUCGAAUCUUUGAACGCACAUUGCGCCCGCCAGUAUUCUGGCGGGCAUGCCUGUUCGAGCGUCAUUUCAACCAUCAAGCCCCCGGCUUGUGUUGGGGACCUGCGGCUGCCGCAGGCCCUGAAAAGCAGUGGCGGGCUCGCUGUCACACCGAGCGUAGUAGAUUUUAUCUCGCUCAGGGCGUGCUGCGGGUUCCGGCCGUUAAACCACCUUCAUAACCCAAGGUUGACCUCGGAUCAGGUAGGAAGACCCGCUGAACUUAAGCAUAUCAUAAGCGGAGGA
Molecule: unclassified non-coding RNA, 335 nt
Filed under: soil metagenome
Description: partial contains 5.8S ribosomal RNA, internal transcribed spacer 2, and large subunit ribosomal RNA
Rfam family: 5.8S ribosomal RNA (bases 1-120)
Source: RNAcentral